AACGAACGCUGGCGGCAUGCCUAACACAUGCAAGUCGAACGAGACCUUCGGGUCUAGUGGCGCACGGGUGCGUAACGCGUGGGAACCUGCCCUUAGGUUCGGAAUAACUCCCCGAAAGGGGUGCUAAUACCGGAUAAUGUCUUCGGACCAAAGAUUUAUCGCCUUUGGAUGGGCCCGCGUUGGAUUAGCUAGUUGGUAGGGUAAAAGCCUACCAAGGCGACGAUCCAUAGCUGGUCUGAGAGGAUGAUCAGCCACACUGGGACUGAGACACGGCCCAGACUCCUACGGGAGGCAGCAGUGGGGAAUACUGGACAAUGGGCGAAAGCCUGAUCCAGCAAUGCCGCGUGAGUGAUGAAGGCCUUAGGGUUGUAAAGCUCUUUUACCCGGGAUGAUAAUGACAGUACCGGGAGAAUAAGCACCGGCUAACUACGUG
Molecule: ribosomal RNA, 433 nt
Filed under: uncultured bacterium
Lineage: Bacteria
Description: partial 16S ribosomal RNA
Rfam family: Bacterial small subunit ribosomal RNA
Source: RNAcentral